This 430-nucleotide ribosomal RNA is filed under the name Micrococcus luteus. RNAcentral's name for it is "partial 23S ribosomal RNA". It matches the Rfam family "Bacterial large subunit ribosomal RNA", at positions 2116 to 2509 of the family's 2925-position model. Lineage: Bacteria; Bacillati; Actinomycetota; Actinomycetes; Micrococcales; Micrococcaceae. The record is from RNAcentral.
GGUGUUUCGGGUGUGGGCUUGUGUAGGAUAGGUGGGAGACUGUGAAGCGGGGCACGCCAGUGUUCGUGGAGUCAUCGUUGAAAUACCACUCUGGUCACUCUGGAUAUCUAACUUCGGCCCGUGAUCCGGGUCAGGGGACAGUGCCUGAUGGGGKAGUUUUWAACUGGGGGGGCGGGUUUGCCCUCCCCCAAAAAAAAUGUAAACGGGAGGCGCCCCCAAAAAGGGUUUCCCCCUCAGCCCUGGGUUUGGGCAAAUCAGGUGUCGAGUGCAAAGUGCACAAAGGGGAGCUUGACUGUGAGAGUGGCAGCUCGAGCAGGGGACGAAAAGUCGGGACUAGUGAUCCGGCGGCUCGUUGUGGAAGGCCGUCGCUCAACGGAUAAAAGGUACCUCGGGGAUAACAGGCUGAUCUUGCCCAAGAGUCCAUAUCGAC